RNAcentral lists this ribosomal RNA (497 nucleotides) under Pygopleurus hirsutus. RNAcentral describes it as "partial 16S large subunit ribosomal RNA". It matches the Rfam family "Bacterial large subunit ribosomal RNA", at positions 1893 to 2600 of the family's 2925-position model. The record is from RNAcentral. Lineage: Eukaryota; Metazoa; Arthropoda; Insecta; Coleoptera; Glaphyridae.
UUGAAAGUAUAGCCUGCCCCCUGAGUAGUUAAAUGGCUGCGGUAACCUGACCGUGCAAAGGUAGCAUAAUAACUAGUUUUUUAAUUGAAAGCUUGAAUGAAAGGUUGGACGAGGGAAAAACUGUCUCUAUUUAAUUUAAUUAGAAUUUUAUUUUUAAGUAAGAAAGCUUAAAUUAAUUUGAAAGACGAGAAGACCCUAUAGAAUUUUAUAUUAAUUUUAAUAUUGGGAUGUGAGGAAUAGUUGGUUUUGGUAUUAUUAAAAAUAUUUUAUUGGGGCGAUAGAAAAAUUUAAGUAACUUUUUUUAAAUUUGUUCAUUAAUUUAUGAGUAAGUGAUCCAUAUUUUAUGAUUAUAAGAUUAAAUUACCUUAGGGAUAACAGCGUAAUCUUUUUUAAGAGUUCUUAUCGAAAAAAAGGAUUGCGACCUCGAUGUUGGAUUAAAAUUAACUUUUGGUGUAGGAGCUAGAAUGUUAGGUCUGUUCGACCUUUAAAAUUUUACA